GGUGCUCAUGUACAUGUACAAGUCACAAAACGGAGGAAGUUGCUGGGUAGUUCCUUGAUCCUUUGUGUAAAACUAAAAGUUGCUGUGACAAUAGUGAGAAUGCGUAACACAAAUUUCUGUACCAAAACUUUAGGUAAAUGCAAGCAUGGAUAAUUAUACCGAUGUUUGUAGCCUGUGCUGUGAAUGGUGCAAUAACAAAAUGGACUCACGGUACAGGGAGUGAGUAAUUACGUAAAUGUAUUGGCCUAAGUAAUCAAUCAUUGCAUAGGCAGGUGGUAUUUCUACAUAAACUUGUUUUUGUUUUGUGAAGAUACUAGACAUGGUUUGCAUAUUUUUUGGGGAGUAUGCAGAGUCUAAGUUUGGCAGGUAGGACAGGUAGGGUAGUUAAUCUCACUUUUUCAGCUUCUGAAGAAAAAAAUCCUUUUCAAAAUUCCAGAAGAGUUUACAAGACCUCACAGAUGACGAAACCCCACUCAGCAAUGAUUCAUACAGGAAUUGAGGAUGAGCCAAAGUCAGCAUGGAUUGUCGAACCAGUAUGGAGGAGUUAUGUAUGCCUUUCCAGGAUACUUCAGUUUGAAAGCUUUCGGACAGUACUCGCAGUGCCGUAGCUGGUGCAUGACCAAGUGAUUGAAGACAGUUCAACAAUGAUGGGCAGAGUGGAACUGAAAGAAAGCAGAUGAGGAGACGGACCUUUUCAGUUUCGCAGCGAGGUCUAGUAACUUCGUAAUCGGGCAAGGUGAUGGAUGUUGCUGCUUGUUCAGUUUUUCAUCUCCUGUCAAGUUUGCGCCUGAAAGAAGAGGUGAUGGAGGGACACACUGAGGGCCCAUGCACCUUCACAUUCAGUCGUACCUUUGGACUGUGUUAAAUAUUUCAAUAUUGGAACAGUUGAUUAAUAGUAAUUGUUCAAAUACAGUAAGUUGCUCUGGAGUGACUGGUAUCUUUCCGUAAGUGUAACAGGUAAAGGCUCUUUAAGUGAUGGAAAUUCAACCUCUGCCGCAUCUUGUACUUUUCAUCUUGAAACUUCCACGUUCGAGAAGUGGGGGACUGUUAUAAUAAUUAUAUACAGUACAUGUAUUGUGCAUUAUUUAGUUAUUACUGUUGAUUCUUGGUUGACCUGUUCGAAUGUUCAAUUGAAUCAUUUAGAUUAAUUUUGUAUGAAUAAUGCUGUUUGUUUUAUUAUUUUCUAUUUGAUAGUUUCUAAUGCUCUUGCCCAAGUCUGCCGCAUAACCUCUUGCAAUAUUUCACAAGAAAAUUCAUAGAUAUGAUAGAAUACGGCUGCAGGUAAAUUUGGAAAACUAAUAUGAAUUGUAUGCAAAUGAAAAAAAGUGAAUUUAGACGUUUAAAAAUUGUACCUGUAUGCUUGUUAACUCGUGUUAUAUUUCCGAUGUAAAUGCACUGGGCAGUGCUGCAUUUCUUUGAAAAAAGAAUCAAAUUCAUCAUCAUGUAUCUUUUAAGAGACUAGUACCCUCAUUUAGGCUAUAAUGCUGUUGGAACAAGUCAAUCUAAUUCUGAAUUUUACUAUGCAUGGAUUAAUUACUACUUUGUUGAAACCUAAAAGGUGUUGUAUAAGCUGAUAAGGUUGGAAGUUAAUUAAUAAAUACAUACAUUUUUUUAUGGAAA
Molecule: long non-coding RNA, 1620 nt
Organism: Patiria miniata (bat star)
Lineage: Eukaryota; Metazoa; Echinodermata; Asteroidea; Valvatida; Asterinidae
Exons: 3
Source: RefSeq, a predicted model, not a curated record